AACGCGAAGAACCUUACCUGGGCUCGAAGCGCAGUGGACCGGGGUAGAAAUAUCCCUUUCCGCAAGGACUGCUGCGGAGGUGCUGCAUGGCUGUCGUCAGCUCGUGUCGUGAGAUGUUGGGUUAAGUCCCGCAACGAGCGCAACCCUUAUCCCUAGUUGCCAUCGGGUCAAGCCGGGCACUCUAGUGAAACCGCCCCGGAUAACGGGGAGGAAGGUGGGGAUGACGUCAAGUCCUCAUGGCCUUUAUGUCCAGGGCUACACACGUGCUACAAUGGCCGGUACAAACCGCUGCAACCCCGCGAGGGUGAGCUAAUCGGAAAAAGCCGGCCUCAGUUCGGAUUGGAGUCUGCAACUCGACUCCAUGAAGCUGGAAUCGCUAGUAAUCGUGGAUCAGCAUGCCACGGUGAAUACGUUCCCGGGCCUUGUACACACCGACUGUAC
This 441-nucleotide ribosomal RNA is filed under the name uncultured bacterium. RNAcentral describes it as "bacterial SSU rRNA". It matches the Rfam family "Bacterial small subunit ribosomal RNA", at positions 958 to 1399 of the family's 1533-position model. The record is from RNAcentral.